GUCCCGUGUCCCUUCUCUCUUCCUAACACCCUCUUUUUAUUUUUAAAACUUUUGGACCACUCUCUUGCUGCCACGUGUCCCUUUCCUCCACACAUUUCCGGAGGUCCCUCUCUUCACUCACCUCUCGUGCUGCCACGACAUCCCAUUUUCCUCUAACCCUCUCUCUCCUCUCUAUUCUUUCCCGUCUCUCUCACUCUAGCACUCUCCUCCCUCUGUAUUCACCGGCGCCGAGGCCAGCUUCCACCAUAUCGCCGUCAUCUCCGACGAGACCCACCAAACCAACACCUGGACUCUCCUUCUCUCCCUCACUAAAGAUCUAAACUCUCUGGGCAUGUACGGACCGAGGAGAGGACCGUUUCGAGUGAAACUUCUCCGGCGUGAUUCCGCCGUUCACGGCCUAAGUAAGAUUCGAGAAAUACCUCGGGGAAAUACUCCCUAGUUUUCCGGCGAGCCAUCCGAGUUUUGUAAGCCAUUUCCGGCUAACUUCGGCCAUGGCUUUGUCUCCCAUUGGCGAAACGCUUCGCAAGGAUUCUUGAUGCUACGAGGCGGGUUCGACUCGACGACAUGAUUUGUAGGCGAAACGCUUCGCAAGGAUUCUCGAUGCUACGAGGCGGGUUCGACUCGACGACAUGAUUUGCCCAUUCACCUUUGCUUUGCGCUCCUUCAGGUUUUAGCCGCUCAGUUUCGUAUCGAUAAGGAUUCUUGGCAAAUCCUAGUGUAGACUAUUCCCUCAUUGGUAUAAUUCUCACCUUAUCUUACUGUACUGUACUUAUACUCUGACAUCACAUGUAAAAUGAGUUCAUUCCCUCUCACAGUGCACUCUUAUAUUUAUGUACUUUUAGGUUUAAAUUUAUUCACUUUUCCACAUCACUACACCUUAUGGCUUCGUCACCCUCAUGGUGUCAACCAGUACAGCUUGAUUCGGAGUCGUAAUGAACAUUCCAGAUCAGGGUGUGUCACGUCACAAGUAACGCGCCAUGAUGUUUAAAAAAAAAAGCCUUUCGCACCCGUAUGAGCGGAUGCAAAAAGGCUAAUAUAUGUAACACAAGCCAUGAAUCCACUGAAUUUCAAGUGAACAGAGGCUUUUCAUAAAUGUA
Molecule: non-coding RNA, 1097 nt
Organism: Malus domestica (apple)
Lineage: Eukaryota; Viridiplantae; Streptophyta; Magnoliopsida; Rosales; Rosaceae
Source: RefSeq, a predicted model, not a curated record